GACUGUGCGAAGGUAGCAUAAUCAUUAGUCUUUUAAUUGAAGACUUGUAUGAACGGUUCGACAAAGAACUAACUCUCUUAAUAGCUUACAUUGAAGUUAACUUUUAAGUGAAGAGGCUUAAAUAACUCUUAAAGACGAUAAGACCCUAUAAAACUUUACAUAUACUUAGUUAAAAUUUUAAUUAUUUGUAAAAAGUUUUUUUUAAAAUUAUGUUUCAUUGGGGAGAUGAAAGUAUAAAAUUAGCUGCUUAAUCUUUAAUACAAAAAUCUUUGAAUUUUAAUUGAUCCUUAGUUAGAGAUAAAAGUUAAGUUACUUUAGGGAUAACAGCGUUAUUCUUUUUAAGAGUUCCUAUCGACAAAAGAGUUUGCGACCUCGAUGUUGAAUUAAAAUUUCUUUAUAGUGCAGCCGCUAUAAGAGUGAGUCUGUUCGACUUU
Molecule: ribosomal RNA, 434 nt
Filed under: Eiconaxius indicus
Lineage: Eukaryota; Metazoa; Arthropoda; Malacostraca; Decapoda; Axiidae
Description: partial 16S small subunit ribosomal RNA
Rfam family: Archaeal large subunit ribosomal RNA
Source: RNAcentral